Molecule: transfer RNA, 76 nt
Filed under: Candidatus Peribacteria bacterium RIFCSPHIGHO2_02_FULL_49_16
Lineage: Bacteria; Candidatus Peregrinibacteriota; Candidatus Peribacteria
Description: tRNA-Lys
Rfam family: tRNA
About the family: Transfer RNA (tRNA) molecules are approximately 80 nucleotides in length. Their secondary structure includes four short double-helical elements and three loops (D, anti-codon, and T loops).
Source: RNAcentral
GCGCCCAUAGCUCAGUUGGUAGAGCAGGUCCCUUUUAAGGACAAGGUCCCUGGUUCAAAUCCAGGUGGGCGCACAA